This 520-nucleotide long non-coding RNA is filed under the name Monodelphis domestica (gray short-tailed opossum). RNAcentral's name for it is "lncRNA (ENSMODG00000041940.1)". The record is from RNAcentral. Lineage: Eukaryota; Metazoa; Chordata; Mammalia; Didelphimorphia; Didelphidae.
CUGAAACAUUAACAGGUUAAUUUCUCAUGUUUCCUUUGCAGGAGUCUACCCCUACCCACUGUGAAGCUUCUAGAGAGCAAAAAUUAAAAGCACUUCCCAGGACACAUUUUUCAACUAUAAAGAAAGGGAGCUGGAGAAGGAAAUGGCAAACCACUUCAAUAUCUCUGCCAAGAAAACCCCAAAAAGGAUCGUGAAGAGUUGGAUACAAUUGAACAACAUAGUAUUGAUUCUAAGGUGGAAGUUUCUUAAGUCUAGAUAGUCAAAGCAAUCUGAUUUGUAGCCUUUGCUGAUUUCUGAAGAGUGAAUGCUCAUGCUGAAAAUUUAACAGUUUUCAAGAGUUAUUAAGAAUUGUUUCCAGAAGUGGAGUCAAGAUGGUGAUGUAGAGACAGCGAAAGUUCAGAUCUUUGAAAACCCUUCCUUACCAAUUACAAACUAAAUGUUCCUAGGGGACUGAAAAUCAAACCCAACAACAAGACAGAACCAAUGAACCCUCCUGUUGGACUCAACUUGAAAGGUACAC